UACGGGGGGGGCAAGCGUUGUUCGGAAUUACUGGGCGUAAAGGGCUCGUAGGUGGCCAACUAAGUCACACGUGAAAUCCCCAGGCUUAACCUGGGAACUGCGUGUGAUACUGGAUGGCUUGAAUUCGGGAGAGGGAUGCAGAAUUCCAGGUGUAGCGGUGAAAUGCGUAGAUAUCUGGAGGAAUACCGGUGGCGAAGGCGGCAUCCUGGACCGACAUUGACGCUGAACGGCGAAAGCUAGGGGAGCAAACGGG
RNAcentral lists this ribosomal RNA (253 nucleotides) under uncultured bacterium. RNAcentral describes it as "partial 16S ribosomal RNA". It matches the Rfam family "Bacterial small subunit ribosomal RNA", at positions 524 to 776 of the family's 1533-position model. The record is from RNAcentral.